AGAGUUUGAUCCUGGCUCAGAACGAACGCUGGCGGCAUGCCUAACACAUGCAAGUCGAACGAAGUCUUCGGACUUAGUGGCGCACGGGUGCGUAACGCGUGGGAAUCUGCCCUUGGGUACGGAAUAACUCAGAGAAAUUUGUGCUAAUACCGUAUAAUGUCUUCGGACCAAAGAUUUAUCGCCCAAGGAUGAGCCCGCGUGAGAUUAGCUAGUUGGUGAGGUAAAAGCUCACCAAGGCGACGAUCUCUAGCUGGUCUGAGAGGAUGAUCAGCCACACUGGGACUGAGACACGGCCCAGACUCCUACGGGAGGCAGCAGUGGGGAAUAUUGGACAAUGGGCGAAAGCCUGAUCCAGCAAUGCCGCGUGAGUGAUGAAGGCCUUAGGGUUGUAAAGCUCUUUUACCCGGGAUGAUAAUGACAGUACCGGGAGAAUAAGCUCCGGCUAACUCCGUGCCAGCAGCCGCGGUAAUACGGAGGGAGCUAGCGUUGUUCGGAAUUACUGGGCGUAAAGCGCGCGUAGGCGGUUUUUUAAGUCAGAGGUGAAAGCCCAGUGCUCAACACUGGAACUGCCUUUGAAACUGGAAAACUUGAAUCUUGGAGAGGUCAGUGGAAUUCCGAGUGUAGAGGUGAAAUUCGUAGAUAUUCGG
Molecule: ribosomal RNA, 647 nt
Filed under: uncultured bacterium
Lineage: Bacteria
Description: bacterial SSU rRNA
Rfam family: Bacterial small subunit ribosomal RNA
Source: RNAcentral